AUACGGCGCUGCACGGUUGGA
Molecule: microRNA, 21 nt
Filed under: Macaca mulatta rhadinovirus
Lineage: Duplodnaviria; Heunggongvirae; Peploviricota; Herviviricetes; Herpesvirales; Orthoherpesviridae
Description: rrv-miR-rR1-2
Gene: rrv-miR-rR1-2
Source: miRBase by way of RNAcentral